GACGAACGCUGGCGGCGUGCUUAACACAUGCAAGUCGAACGGAAAGGCUCCAGCUUGCUGGAGUACUCGAGUGGCGAACGGGUGAGUAACACGUGGGUGAUCUGCCCUGCACUUCGGGAUAAGCCUGGGAAACUGGGUCUAAUACCGGAUAGGACCGCACUUUGGUGUGUGUGGUGGAAAGUUUUUUCUGGUGUGGGAUGAGCUCGCGGCCUAUCAGUUUGUUGGUGGGGUAAUGGCCUACCAAGACGGCGACGGGUAGCCGGCCUGAGAGGGUGGACGGUCACAUUGGGACUGAGAUGCGGCCCAGACUCCUACGGGAGGCAGCAGUGGGGAAGAUUGCACAAGGGGGGAAACCCUGAUGCAGCGACGCCGCGUGGGGGAUGAAGGCCUUCGGGUUGUAAACUCCUUUCGCUAGGGACGAAGCUUUUUGUGACGGUACCUGGAGAAGAAGCACCGGCUAACUACGUG
RNAcentral lists this ribosomal RNA (468 nucleotides) under uncultured bacterium. Its description in RNAcentral is "partial 16S ribosomal RNA". It matches the Rfam family "Bacterial small subunit ribosomal RNA", at positions 28 to 507 of the family's 1533-position model. The record is from RNAcentral.